AUGGAUGCCACAACGGCCAAGCAGCUCAGGCGGCUCCGCACGCUCGGCCGCGGCGCGUCCGGCGCCGUCGUCUGGCUCGCCUCCGACGACGCCUCCGGCGAGCUUCUCGCGGUCAAGUCGGCCGGCGCCGGCGCGGCCGAGACGCUGCGGCGCGAGGGCCGCGUCAUGGCCGGGCUCUGCUCCCCGCACAUCGUCCCGUGCCUCGGCUCCCGCGCCGCACCCGGCGGCGAGUACCAGCUCUUCCUCGAGUUCGCGCCGCGCGGCUCGCUCGCCGACGAGGCUGCCAGGAGCGGCGGGAGCCUCGCGGAGCGCGCCAUCCAGGGGUACGCGGGGGACGUGGCCAGGGGGCUUGCCUACCUCCACGGGAACUCGCUGGUGCACGGGGACGUCAAGGCUAGGAACGUCAUGCUCGGCGGCGACGGCCGAGCCAAGCUCGCGGACUUCGGAUGCGCGAGGGCGGCGGAUUCCGACCGGACGAUCGGCGGCACUCCGGCGUUCAUGGCGCCGGAGGUGGCGCGCGGGGAGGAGCAGGGCCUGGCGGCCGACGUGUGGGCGCUCGGCUGCACCGUCAUCGAGAUGGCCACCGGCCGCGCCCCGUGGGGCGACAUGGACGACGUCUUCGCGGCGGUCCACCGGAUCGGAUACACGGACGCCGUGCCCGAGCUGCCAGCGUCGCUGUCGCCGCAGGCCAAGGACUUCCUGUGCAAGUGCUUGGCAAGAAACCCCCGCCACCGGUCCACCGCCGCGCAGCUCCUAGAGCACCCGUUCCUCGCGUCCGCCUUCCGCGACGUCGACGCGGAACCGGCGAAGCAGGAUUGGAUGUCCCCCAAGAGCACACUCAACGCGGAAUUCUGGGAGUCGGACGAGGAAAGCGAAACAGAGGACAUGCUGACGAGCGCGGCCGAGAGGAUCGCCUCGUUGGCGAGCCCUUGCUCGGCCUUGCCAGACUGGGAGUCCGACGAUGGCUGGAUCGACGUGCACGGCGAACGCCCUGAAGCUUCAGAAACAACGUCGGCCACG
RNAcentral lists this ribosomal RNA (1020 nucleotides) under Triticum aestivum (bread wheat). RNAcentral describes it as "partial small subunit ribosomal RNA". Lineage: Eukaryota; Viridiplantae; Streptophyta; Magnoliopsida; Poales; Poaceae. The record is from RNAcentral.